AACAAGGCGUACCUGCGGACCUGCGGAAGGAUCAUUACCGAGUUUACAACUCCCAAACCCCUGUGAACAUACCAAUUGUUGCCUCGGCGGAUCAGCCCGCUCCCGGUAAAACGGGACGGCCCGCCAGAGGACCCCUAAACUCUGUUUCUAUAUGUAGCUUCUGAGUAAAACCAUAAAUAAAUCAAAACUUUCAACAAUGGAUCU
RNAcentral lists this unclassified non-coding RNA (204 nucleotides) under soil metagenome. RNAcentral's name for it is "partial contains 5.8S ribosomal RNA, internal transcribed spacer 2, and large subunit ribosomal RNA". The record is from RNAcentral.